UACGUAGGGGGCAAGCGUUGUCCGGAAUCAUUGGGCGUAAAGAGCGUGUAGGCGGCCAGAUAAGUCCGCUGUGAAAUCUCGAGGCUCAACUUCGAGCUGUCGGUGGAAACUGUCUGGCUAGAGUCCGGAAGAGGAGAAUGGAAUUCCUGGUGUAGCGGUGAAAUGCGCAGAUAUCAGGAAGAACACCCGAGGCGAAGGCGGUUCUCUGGGACGGUACUGACGCUGAGACGCGAAAGCGUGGGGAGCGAACAGG
Molecule: ribosomal RNA, 253 nt
Filed under: uncultured bacterium
Lineage: Bacteria
Description: partial 16S ribosomal RNA
Rfam family: Bacterial small subunit ribosomal RNA
Source: RNAcentral